This 1501-nucleotide long non-coding RNA is filed under the name Sorghum bicolor (sorghum). RNAcentral's name for it is "long non-coding RNA (SBIC_LNC015131)". Lineage: Eukaryota; Viridiplantae; Streptophyta; Magnoliopsida; Poales; Poaceae. The record is from RNAcentral.
GGCACCAGGAUUGAUCUUGUUACAGAGGAUGGUUAGGCAUGGAGCGUGUUGGAAUGAGGAUGCUCCAACAGAAAAAACUAAUGUUGCAACGGAAAACCACAUGGUGUCGUUUAAAACCGGGAAGUUACAGGCACAGUCGGUGGCUCAGCAUAGAAAAUAUUAAGGUAUGGCAAAGAUAGUUUUGACAUUGCACUUUCCCAUACCCUUUCCUUUUGGUUCCAUAUUCAGUUAAUAAUUCACUGUGCUUUAAAAUCAACCAAGCAAAUUAAUUGAUAACUAAAAAUUUGAACAAACAACAAUCAACAGAGAGGAAGAAAAUCAGGUUUUUUCUAAUAAUAGGAAAAUCAGGUUUCAGAGGGCCUUACUCUGCGUCUGUGCCGAACUGCAGCUGUAGACUUGGAUGCAAUUGUGGAAGGCUGCAACUGCAAGUCACAACUUGGAUCUGGCCAUCAGGACAGUUUGGGCGAAGUUGCAGAGGGCUGAAGACUUGCUUACUUAAAGGAGCAGAGGCAGAGCGAUGUCGUCGCCGGUAUCACAGUACCAGUUCGACGGUGAAGUCACGAUCGACUCGAAGGGUCGCUGGCUUUCUACGUCCAGAAGGAAAACAAACGGACGGAGUGCUGUAACUCUAAUUCUGUAUUCUCUAAUAAAACCGGAAAGCCCAUAUAGCUAUACGUUCAGCACAAAGGCCCAAAGGCAGAUAAAAGGUUCCUGAAUUGGAGUUUCUUCUUCCUCGGUUCCUGAAUUGUAGAACCAGCAGACUUGUGAAUGGACAUAUGCUCUAGUGGUAGGGCUGUCUAGUGGGAUGCUACCCACCAAGGUUCAAACCCUAGUAACCGCACUUUUUCUUGAAAAUUUUCAGAAUUUUCAGGGUACACGCACAUGUGCGCGUUCGCUGGUACUGCAUGUUUCCCGUGCGCUGGAGGAGACGCCUCCUAAUCUCUUAUUUGCGUGCGGUAUGAGUGUGGAGUGUGUGGGUUGUGUGUGUCCAAAUUGUACCCAAUCAAAAAAAAAGAAUCAGCAGACCUUCUGCAGUUCUGCCCAUGGCUGCCGGGGGCAAUUUGGGGUGGGGAAUUGGGGAUCCACGGCAGAGUGAAGGUAUGGCGAGCGCCCUAUCCAAUUUUGUAGAAUGACCAUCUUGCAUCAUGUCUUAACCUGAAACUGAACUGAGCGAAGUGGUUGAAAAUUUACUCACAUGCACUUCUUUUUAUCUGAAUUUGAGUGGAUGGUACACUCCAUGUAGUGUAGAUGUAUAAUCUUGCUGGACUGAUUACAUUGAAUAAAUUGUGUUGAACCAAUAAAAUUAAAUAGUACAUGCUUGCAUAGUUUCCUUAUUGUCAGCUAGGUUGAAAGUUUGGUGGAUUUAAUGAGGUUCGUCCCAAACCAGCCAACUAUUCUUUUUAUGAAAGAAAGGUUUCAUAAAAAGAUAAAAACGUUAGACCAGCAGUGAACAUGAAUGUUCAUUGAUCACCUUUGGUUCCCAGGACUUACAUAUUGGUUA